Molecule: long non-coding RNA, 596 nt
Organism: Frieseomelitta varia
Lineage: Eukaryota; Metazoa; Arthropoda; Insecta; Hymenoptera; Apidae
Exons: 3
Source: RefSeq, a predicted model, not a curated record
AUUCCAUAGACACGUCAUCGUCGUAACGAUAUCGAUCCGCACACGAGCAAACAAUUGUGUCAUUACUUAGCAGUCUUUCUAAUAUCCAUGAUAAUGAUCUGAAACGAGGGAAAUAGCAAGAGAGUAGAGUGUUAAAGUUCAUCUAGUGUUAGUGUUCUUUUCCGACUUACGAUGUUCAAGUUUAAAAUUAUUAGGCAAACCACCAUGCCGUUGUUUGUGACGAAACUUCUGUUCAGAAUACGUAUCAUUAGGAAUGCUUGUCGUAGUAGUCGAAACAUUAUACAACAAGCAACGAAUCGAUAAAUAUUUUUUGGAUUGGUUACGUCAACCGGAAAAGAUAAGACAAAGCAGAAACAUUUAAACAUUUGCGUGCUCUCUUCCGAUUCACAAAUUUAGGUACAUAUUCAUAGUUUCAUCUAAAGAGCAUUCAGAGAUACGUCAAUAUACGAACAAAAUACAGAGAAGAGAAGAUAAAUUGCAGAAGACCUGAUCAUUCUGAUGAUAUAUCGUUAACCCAACAGCACAUACGUGAAGAUUCAGCGGAACGACCAAUCUGAUAAUUAAAUUAUAAUUUGUCCAACUGUAAAUAUUGUUUC